Molecule: ribosomal RNA, 491 nt
Filed under: Aedes albopictus (Asian tiger mosquito)
Lineage: Eukaryota; Metazoa; Arthropoda; Insecta; Diptera; Culicidae
Description: eukaryotic LSU rRNA
Rfam family: Eukaryotic large subunit ribosomal RNA
Source: RNAcentral
CAGCACAAAGUGGGAGGUAAACUCCUUCUAAAGCUAAAUAUCACCACGAGACCGAUAGCGAACAAGUACCGUGAGGGAAAGUUGAAAAGCACUCUGAAUAGAGAGUCAAAAAGUACGUGAAACUGCCUAGGGCUCAAGCCCGUUGAACUCGAUUAUCCGAGCGGAGACAUUCACCUGCGGUUGGCCGGCGACGGCACGGCCGCAGGGCACUUGUCUCUCGCACUAGCCAAGAGGACACUGCGAUCCAUUACGAAACAGCUUUCGCGCCGCAAGGCGCAAGGUCGCCCGACAACUGCCCCCUGGUGCUGGUUGCUUGCCCCACAGUAGCGACGCUCAGUUCUGAAGGCCUGUGCCGCGAGGUGGGGCUUACUGCACGUGGUGUUCUAGCAGUCGGGCGCGUGAUGGAUUCCCCCGGACACCGGGUGGUCUUCCCGUAAGGGGCCACCGGACUGUCGAUCGGCAGUGAAAGAAUCGAGGUACCUUCGGGACCC